This 842-nucleotide ribosomal RNA is filed under the name uncultured bacterium. RNAcentral's name for it is "bacterial SSU rRNA". It matches the Rfam family "Bacterial small subunit ribosomal RNA", at positions 59 to 911 of the family's 1533-position model. The record is from RNAcentral.
CAGUCGAACGGACUCAUAUUGAAACCUAGUGAUUUAUGAGUUAGUGGCGGACGGGUGAGUAACGCGUGGAUAACCUACCGUAUACCGGGGGAUAACACUUAGAAAUAGGUGCUAAUACCGCAUAAGCGCACGGCUCCGCAUGGGGCAGUGUGAAAAACUCCGGUGGUAUACGAUGGAUCCGCGUCUGAUUAGCUAGUUGGCGGGGUAACGGCCCACCAAGGCAGCGAUCAGUAGCCGGCCUGAGAGGGUGGACGGCCACAUUGGGACUGAGACACGGCCCAAACUCCUACGGGAGGCAGCAGUGGGGAAUAUUGCACAAUGGGGGGAACCCUGAUGCAGCGACGCCGCGUGGGUGAGGAAGUACUUCGGUAUGUAAAGCCCUAUCAGCAGGGAAGAAAAUGACGGUACCUGACUAAGAAGCCCCGGCUAACUACGUGCCAGCAGCCGCGGUAAUACGUAGGGGGCAAGCGUUAUCCGGAAUUACUGGGUGUAAAGGGAGCGUAGACGGCAGCACAAGUCUGGAGUGAAAUCCCGGGGCUUAACCCCGGAACUGCUUUGGAAACUGUGCGGCUGGAGUGCAGGAGGGGUAAGCGGAAUUCCUAGUGUAGCGGUGAAAUGCGUAGAUAUUAGGAGGAACACCGGUGGCGAAGGCGGCUUACUGGACUGUAACUGACGUUGAGGCUCGAAAGCGUGGGGAGCAAACAGGAUUAGAUACCCUGGUAGUCCACGCCGUANACGAUGAUUACUAGGUGUCGGGGGANCAAGGUCCUCCGGUGCCGGCGCAAACGCAUUAAGUAAUCCACCUGGGGAGUACGUUCGCAAGAAUGAAACUCAAAGGAAUU